UACGGAGGAUCCGAGCGUUAUCCGGAUUUAUUGGGUUUAAAGGGUGCGUAGGUUGUUUGAUAAGUCAGCGGUGAAAUUUUGCAGCUCAACUGUAAAACUGCCGUUGAAACUGUCUGACUAGAGUCUUGUAGAGGGGGGUAGAAUUCCAGGUGUAGCGGUGAAAUGCGUAGAUAUUAGGAGGAACACCAGUGGCGAAGGCGGCCAACUGGGCUUUUACUGACGCUGAGGCUCGAAAGCGUGGGGAGCAAAC
This 250-nucleotide ribosomal RNA is filed under the name uncultured bacterium. Its description in RNAcentral is "partial 16S ribosomal RNA". It matches the Rfam family "Bacterial small subunit ribosomal RNA", at positions 524 to 773 of the family's 1533-position model. The record is from RNAcentral.